ACUUCUCCACUGUCUCUGCGAUCCUACUCAACACUCGAAGGAAACUCAUCGCCUGCUAGCCCAUCACCAGACAACAGCCCUUCUAAAUCCCAAUCGCCUGUUAAACGUAGGAGAAUGCUCCAUUGUGACACCCCGUCUACAUGCGCACAAGAAAGCAGCGGACAACGAAAAACAAAGCGAAGUUUAAACUACGAGGGUGAUUCUGAAGGAAAACCGGUUUACCAAAUGUGACCACUGCACAAAUUAUAAAAAGCAACUAGAGGCAACAAUGAAUAAAGCUAAAAGAAAGGCCAUUCAAGAACUUCUGGAUGAACACAUUGAACGUGUUAUGAAUGAACGAAGAAAAUAU
Long non-coding RNA from Dendronephthya gigantea, 349 nucleotides. RefSeq lists it as uncharacterized. The record is from RefSeq and is a predicted model, not a curated record. Lineage: Eukaryota; Metazoa; Cnidaria; Anthozoa; Malacalcyonacea; Nephtheidae. The transcript is spliced from 4 exons.